This 571-nucleotide ribosomal RNA is filed under the name Xiphinema rivesi. Its description in RNAcentral is "partial 28S ribosomal RNA". It matches the Rfam family "Eukaryotic large subunit ribosomal RNA", at positions 38 to 552 of the family's 3401-position model. The record is from RNAcentral. Lineage: Eukaryota; Metazoa; Nematoda; Enoplea; Dorylaimida; Longidoridae.
GCAUAUCAAUAAGCGGAGGAAAGGAAAUUAACGAAGAUUUCCUUAGUAACGGCGAGUGAAAAGGAAAUAGUCCAGCGCCGAAUCCCUCGGCCUACGGUCGAGGGAACUGUGGCGUGAAGGAGAGCCUAUCCGGCGGGUUCGUCGACUUCGGAAGCUCCCUCGAACGGGAUCCCGAAGCGGGUGCGAGGCCCGUACCGAGGUCGCGCCCGUCGGUUUGAGCCUCCGUAGAGUCGGGUUACUUGAGAGUGUAGCCCAAAGCGGAAGGUAAACCCCUUCUAAGGCUAAAUACGACCGCGAGACCAAUAGCGAACAAGUACCGCGAGGGAAAGUUGAAAAGAACUUUGAAGAGAGAGUUCAAAAGGGCGUGAAACCGCUUAGAAGAAAACGGACGGAACCGUCUGACGCCCUCGGGAAUCAGUCGAACGACGCGCGAACGCGUCUCGAUCGUCGGAGCGUAAAAGUCCGGCUCGGGGCGUCUAGUAGUCGCGUUCGUAAGGCGCAUUUCUCGAGGGUUAGCGCCGCGACCGAUGCGAACGGCCGACGACGCCGUCNAGUUGAGGUCGAACGCCCU